ACAUCAUAUCAAGGUGAUUACCCUGCCAAAAGCAGGGAGGAAAGUCUCGACAUGACACCAGAGAUAGCAGCUAACGGCUGCUGGAUACCUCAUAGCAAUAUGAGGCAAAGGAACGGGCCACAGAGACGAAAACUAGUCGGCUUGCCGAUCAAAGGUGCAACGUAAAGGUCCAUAGCAAUGUGGUACUUUUUCUUAGUCCUGCUGAAGCAGGGCAAGUGGUAACCCCUAUCUCAUGCAAGCGACUCGAAGAAAUAUCGGGCGUGCACAAAGUCGAUUAUAAAUCGACAAGACAAAUGUCACCCACGACAGAAUCGGGCUUAUUGGUAUGAUGUACUU
Molecule: RNase P RNA, 336 nt
Filed under: Patescibacteria group bacterium
Lineage: Bacteria
Description: RNase P RNA component class A
Rfam family: Bacterial RNase P class A
About the family: Ribonuclease P (RNase P) is a ubiquitous endoribonuclease, found in archaea, bacteria and eukarya as well as chloroplasts and mitochondria.
Source: RNAcentral